RNAcentral lists this ribosomal RNA (426 nucleotides) under uncultured bacterium. Its description in RNAcentral is "bacterial SSU rRNA". It matches the Rfam family "Bacterial small subunit ribosomal RNA", at positions 354 to 796 of the family's 1533-position model. The record is from RNAcentral.
GUCGGGAAUAUUGCCCAAUGGGCGAAAGCCUGAGGCAGCAACGCCGCGUGCGCGAAGAAGGCCUUCGGGUCGUAAAGCGCUUUUCGAGAGGAUGAGGGAGGACAGUACUCUCGGAAUAAGUCACGGCUAACUACGUGCCAGCAGCCGCGGUAAAACGUAGGUGGCGAGCGUUAUCCGGAUUUACUGGGCGUAAAGCGCGUUCGGGCGGCUGAGGAAGUCGGGCAUGAAAUCUCUCGGCUCAACCGGGAGGGGCUGUCCGAUACUCCUUGGCUUGAGGGCAGCAGAGGCGGGUGGAAUUCCGGGUGUAGUGGUGAAAUGCGUAGAGAUCCGGAGGAACACCAGUGGCGAAAGCGGCCCGCUGGGCUGCCACUGACGCUGAAACGCGAAAGCUAGGGGAGCGAACGGGAUUAGAAACCCUAGUAGUCC